This is a long non-coding RNA of Glycine soja, 282 nucleotides long. RefSeq lists it as uncharacterized. Lineage: Eukaryota; Viridiplantae; Streptophyta; Magnoliopsida; Fabales; Fabaceae. The transcript has 3 exons. The record is from RefSeq and is a predicted model, not a curated record.
AAGGCAGGACCAUCAACCAUCUAGCAAUUCUUCAUUCCAGAGUCCAAAGAAGGUCAACUUGGUUGCUGCUCUGGUUCGUGGUAUGCUUGUUAAAGAUGCAUUGAUGCAGUUGGAAUUGACAAUAAAACGAGCAGCAAAAACUGUAUAUCAGCAAGCUGCGGGAUACAAUCAAAUCUUUUGGCUGUGUGCAGGGAAUUCUGAUCUCAAAUUGUCCACGGCUAUGCAGCGAAAUUCUUGACAAGUUGAACCACCCUUUUCUACUUGCAUUAUCUAUAUGCUUCC